RNAcentral lists this ribosomal RNA (494 nucleotides) under uncultured bacterium. Its description in RNAcentral is "partial 16S ribosomal RNA". It matches the Rfam family "Bacterial small subunit ribosomal RNA", at positions 28 to 507 of the family's 1533-position model. The record is from RNAcentral.
GACGAACGCUGGCGGCGUGCUUAACACAUGCAAGUCGAACGGAAAGGCCUGCUUUCCCUUGUGGAUUGCGGGUACUCGAGUGGCGAACGGGUGAGUAACACGUGAGUGAUCUGCCCCCAACUUGGGUAUAAGCCUGGGAAACUGGGUCUAAUUCCCGAUAGGACUGCAGGGUGGUGCCUGUGGUGGAAAACGAUUUUCUAGUGGUUGGGGAUGAGCUCGCGGCCUAUCAGCUUGUUGGUGGGGUAAUGGCCUACCAAGGCGGCGACGGGUAGCCGGCCUGAGAGGGUGGACGGCCACAUUGGGACUGAGAUACGGCCCAGACUCCUACGGGAGGCAGCAGUGGGGAAUAUUGCAGAAUGGGCGGAAGCCUGAUGCAGCGACGCCGCGUGGGGGAUGACGGCCUUCGGGUUGUAAACUCCUUUCGACCGCGAGGAAGCCACCUGGUUGGAAGGGUGGUGACGGUAGUGGUAGAAGAAGCACCGGCUAACUACGUG